RNAcentral lists this ribosomal RNA (497 nucleotides) under uncultured bacterium. Its description in RNAcentral is "partial 16S ribosomal RNA". It matches the Rfam family "Bacterial small subunit ribosomal RNA", at positions 28 to 507 of the family's 1533-position model. The record is from RNAcentral.
GAUGAACGCUGGCGGCGUGCCUAAUACAUGCAAGUCGAGCGAACAGAUCAGGAGCUUGCUCCUUUGACGUUAGCGGCGGACGGGUGAGUAACACGUGGGUAACCUACCUAUAAGACUGGGAUAACUUCGGGAAACCGGAGCUAAUACCGGAUAAUAUUUCGAACCGCAUGGUUCGAUAGUGAAAGAUGGUUUUGCUAUCACUUAUAGAUGGACACGCACCGUAUUAGCUAGUUGGUAAGGUAACGGCUUACCAAGGCUACGAUGCGUAGGCGACCUGAGAGCGAGGUCGCACAGCCGGGAACAGAGAAAGGGCAGAGACUCCUAGGGGAGGAAGCAGUAGGGAAUCCUACGCAAUGGGGGAAAGCGUGACGGAGCAAAGCCGCGGGAGUGAUGAAGGACUUCGGAUCGGAAAACGAUGUUAGUAGGGAAGAACAUAAGCGUAAGUAACUGUGCAGGUCUUGACGGUACCAAAUCAGAAAGCCACGGCUAACUACGUG